AAACUGGAGAUGGCGACCGGCGCACGGGUGAGUAACACGUAUCCAACCUGCCGAUGACUCGGGGAUAGCCUUUCGAAAGAAAGAUUAAUACCCGAUGGCAUAGUUCUUCCGCAUGGUAGAACUAUUAAAGAAUUUCGGUCAUCGAUGGGGAUGCGUUCCAUUAGGUUGUUGGCGGGGUAACGGCCCACCAAGCCUUCGAUGGAUAGGGGUUCUGAGAGGAAGGUCCCCCACAUUGGAACUGAGACACGGUCCAAACUCCUACGGGAGGCAGCAUG
Molecule: ribosomal RNA, 275 nt
Filed under: uncultured bacterium
Lineage: Bacteria
Description: partial 16S ribosomal RNA
Rfam family: Bacterial small subunit ribosomal RNA
Source: RNAcentral